This is a long non-coding RNA of Ruditapes philippinarum (Manila clam), 334 nucleotides long. RefSeq lists it as uncharacterized. The record is from RefSeq and is a predicted model, not a curated record. The transcript is spliced from 3 exons. Lineage: Eukaryota; Metazoa; Mollusca; Bivalvia; Venerida; Veneridae.
AGGGUUGCUUGCUUUCAAGAAUCAGGGGAGACAGAAACCAUUAAAUUUAACUAUGAACCACAUACGCAUAUGAUGGUAGUAACUCGGCAAACAACAUGUUAUAUUUUUGUAUUGACGUCUGCUGAGAUGGCAAUGGUUCAUUCAGACGAUAGUCUUCGUGCGUUGGAGUUACAGUUGUUGGUGAAAGUAAAUGACCCGACCACCCCUCAAACAAAGGUGCCAGAUUUUUCUCUACAUACAAAUAUUCAAAGACAGUGCGGUAAAAACAUGGCAUAUCAUUACAUAAUUCAGUGAUCUAUCACAUUAAAAGGAAAAUAAAGUAUAUUUGAAUUCA